CAGCCGCCACGGUAAUACGGAGGGUGCAAGCGUUAAUCGGAAUUACGGGGCGUAAAGCGUGCGUAGGCGGUUCGUUAAGUCUGUUAUGAAAGCCCCGGGCUCAACCUGGGAAUGGCAAUGGAUACUGGCGAGCUAGAGUGUGUCAGAGGAUGGUGGAAUUCCCGGUGUAGCGGUGAAAUGCGUAGAGAUCGGGAGGAACAUCAGUGGCGAAGGCGGCCAUCUGGGACAACACUGACGCUGAGGCACGAAAGCGUGGGGAGCAAACAGGAUUAGAUACCCGCGUAGUCCCUGUCUCUUAUAC
This 301-nucleotide ribosomal RNA is filed under the name uncultured bacterium. Its description in RNAcentral is "partial 16S ribosomal RNA". It matches the Rfam family "Bacterial small subunit ribosomal RNA", at positions 509 to 807 of the family's 1533-position model. The record is from RNAcentral.